ACGAACGCUGGCGGCGCGCUUAACACAUGCCAGUCGAACGGAAAGGCCUGCUUUCCCUUGUGGAUUGCGGGUACUCGAGUGGCGAACGGGUGAGUAACACGUGAGUGAUCUGCCCCCAACUUGGGUAUAAGCCUGGGAAACUGGGUCUAAUUCCCGAUAGGACUGCAGGGUGGUGCCUGUGGUGGAAAACGAUUUUCUAGUGGUUGGGGAUGAGCUCGCGGCCUAUCAGCUUGUUGGUGGGGUAAUGGCCUACCAAGGCGGCGACGGGUAGCCGGCCUGAGAGGGUGGACGGCGACAUUGGGACUGAGAUACGGCCCGGACGCCUACGGGAGGCAGCAGUGGGGAAUAUUGCACAAUGGGCGGAAGCCUGAUGCAGCGACGCCGCGUGGAGGAUGACGGCCUUCGGGUUGUAAACUCCUUUCGACCGCGAGGAAGCCACCUGGUUGGAAGGGUGGUGACGGUAGUGGUAGAAGAAGCACCGGCUAACUACGUG
Molecule: ribosomal RNA, 493 nt
Filed under: uncultured bacterium
Lineage: Bacteria
Description: partial 16S ribosomal RNA
Rfam family: Bacterial small subunit ribosomal RNA
Source: RNAcentral